This 1350-nucleotide ribosomal RNA is filed under the name uncultured archaeon. Its description in RNAcentral is "bacterial SSU rRNA". It matches the Rfam family "Archaeal small subunit ribosomal RNA". The record is from RNAcentral.
UUCCGGUUGAUCCUGCCGGCGGUCACCGCUAUUGGGGUUCGAUUAAGACAUGCGAGUCGCGAGGGUUCGGCCCUCGGCGGACUGCUCAGUAACACGUGGAUAACCUGCCCUCAGGUGGGGGAUAAUCUCGGGAAACUGAGGAUAAUACCCCAUAGGCCAUUGAUGCUGGAAUGCUCUCUGGCCGAAAGCUCCGGCGCCUGAGGAUGGAUCUGCGGCCUAUCAGGUAGUAGUUGGGGUAACGGCCCAACUAGCCUGCGACGGGUACGGGCCUUGAGAGAGGAAGCCCGGAGAUGGACUCUGAGACACUAGUCCAGGCCCUACGGGGCGCAGCAGUCGCGAAACCUUCACACUGCGGGAACCCGUGAUGAGGGAACCCCAAGUGCCUGGGCAUUAGCUCAGGCUGUUCACCUGUCUAAAAAACGGGUGAAGUAAGGGCUGGGUAAGACCGGUGCCAGCCGCCGCGGUAAUACCGGCAGCCCAAGUGGUGACCAUUUUUAUUGAGCCUAAAACGUCCGUAGCCGGUCCGGCAAAUCUCUGGGCAAAUCGGGCAGCUUAACUGUUCGAAUUCCAGAGAGACUACCGGACUAGGGACCGGGAGAGGCCAGAGGUACGUCGGGGGUAGGGGUAAAAUCCUUUAAUCCUCGACGGACCACCGGUGGCGAAGGCGUCUGGCUAGAACGGAUCCGACGGUAAGGGACGAAGGCUAGGGGCGCAAACCGGAUUAGAUACCCGGGUAGUCCUAGCUGUAAACGCUGCAGGCUUGGUGUUGGAGCUCCUUCGAGGGGUUUCAGUGCCGUAUCGAAGGUGUUAAGCCUGCUGACUUGGGGAGUACGGUCAGCAAGACUGAAACUUAAAGGAAUUGGCGGGAACACAGCAACGGGAGGAGCGUGCGGUUUAAUUGGAUUCAACCGCCGGAAAACUCACCAGGAGCGACUGUUACAUGAAGGCCAGGCUGAUGACCUUGCCUGAUUUUCAGAGAGGUGGUGCAUGGCCGCCGUCAGUUCGUACCGUGAGGCGUUCUCUUAAGUGAGAUAACGAACGAGACCCUCGCCCCUAUUUGCUACCCUUCUCUUCGGAGAUGGGGCACUAUAGGGGGACCGCUGGCGCUAAGUCAGAGGAAGGAGAGUCAACGGUAGGUCAGUAUGCCCCCGAAUUUUCUUGGGUUAACGCGCGUACAAAGGACGGGACAAUGGCUGCGACGCCGAGAGGCGAAGCCAAUCCCGAAACCCGUUCGUAGUCCGGACUGAGGGUUGUAACUCACCCUCACGAAGCUGGAUUCCGUAGUAAUCGCGGAUCAACAUCCCGCGGUGAAUGUGCACCUGCUCUUUGCACACACCGCCCGUCAAACCA